GAUGAAGAACGUAGCGAAAUGCGAUAAGUAAUGCGAAUUGCAGAAUUUCCGUGAGUCAUCGAAUCUUUGAACGCACAUUGCGCCCCUUGGUAUUCCGAGGGGCAUGCCUGUUCGAGCGUCAUUAUAACCCCUCAAGCUCAGCUUGGUGUUGGGGCCUGCUGCACUGGCAGCCCUUAAAAUCAGUGGCGGCGCCAUCUGGCUCUAAGCGUAGUAAUUCUUCUCGCUAUGGAGUCCUGGUGGAUGCUUGCCAUCAACCCACAAUUUUUCUAUGGUUGACCUCGGAUCAGGUAGGGAUACCCGCUGAACUUAAGCAUAUCAAUAAGCGGAGGA
RNAcentral lists this unclassified non-coding RNA (330 nucleotides) under soil metagenome. RNAcentral describes it as "partial contains 5.8S ribosomal RNA, internal transcribed spacer 2, and large subunit ribosomal RNA". The stretch from base 1 to 121 matches the Rfam family "5.8S ribosomal RNA", at positions 35 to 154 of the family's 154-position model. The record is from RNAcentral.